GAGGAGCUUGCUUCUCUGGAUGAGUUGCGAACGGGUGAGUAACGCGUAGGUAACCUGCCUGGUAGCGGGGGAUAACUAUUGGAAACGAUAGCUAAUACCGCAUAAUAGUAGAUGUUGCAUGACAUUUGCUUAAAAGGUGCAAUUGCAUCACUACCAGAUGGACCUGCGUUGUAUUAGCUAGUUGGUGAGGUAACGGCUCACCAAGGCGACGAUACAUAGCCGACCUGAGAGGGUGAUCGGCCACACUGGGACUGAGACACGGCCCAGACUCCUACGGGAGGCAGCAGUAGGGAAUCUUCGGCAAUGGACGGAAGUCUGACCGAGCAACGCCGCGUGAGUGAAGAAGGUUUUCGGAUCGUAAAGCUCUGUUGUAAGAGAAGAACGAGUGUGAGAGUGGAAAGUUCACACUGUGACGGUAUCUUACCAGAAAGGGACGGCUAACUACGUGCCAGCAGCCGCGGUAAUACGUAGGUCCCGAGCGUUGUCCGGAUUUAUUGGGCGUAAAGCGAGCGCAGGCGGUUAGAUAAGUCUGAAGUUAAAGGCUGUGGCUUAACCAUAGUACGCUUUGGAAACUGUUUAACUUGAGUGCAAGAGGGGAGAGUGGAAUUCCAUGUGUAGCGGUGAAAUGCGUAGAUAUAUGGAGGAAC
Molecule: ribosomal RNA, 647 nt
Filed under: Streptococcus mitis
Lineage: Bacteria; Bacillati; Bacillota; Bacilli; Lactobacillales; Streptococcaceae
Description: bacterial SSU rRNA
Rfam family: Bacterial small subunit ribosomal RNA
Source: RNAcentral